CUGGCAGCCCUGUUUUUUUCCAGACAGAGGGUUGUGAGCGCACCUGGGGAGGAGGCCUGGUCUUGUGGAAGCUGAACUUAGCUGCGCCAGGCUGACAGCUCUGCCUGAGGUGGUAUGGAGU
Non-coding RNA from Ochotona princeps (American pika), 121 nucleotides. Lineage: Eukaryota; Metazoa; Chordata; Mammalia; Lagomorpha; Ochotonidae. The record is from Rfam.